CUCGAAUGCGGCUUGAAAGGAGAAGCCCGAUUGUUUGCAUUCUACGGCUAGAUAAGGGUCACCGCGACAAGCUUCGUGGCAAGUGGGGGCGGUGAUUGGCGAGGUUUUGUUAUAUUACUGGUAUCUUUUCUAACUCGUGACCGUAACGCGGUUCUAGAAGCAGGGUUCCUUUUAAUUUUUCCAGCCUCCUACCAUCCAGUGCAUACGCUUCGCCGGAAGGUCGCCGGCGUUUACCGCGAUCGCAUCCGUCCAAGGUUGUUGAACUCUGUGUGUGGAUUUAGCAAGACCUAGGGUUUGUAUUGGACUAUCAGAAGAGACAAGGAAGAAGAGGAGAAAUGGCCACUAUGGCAUCUGAAAACUCCGCCUGAUCGGCUCUCAAAAAAUGGCUUCGCU
Molecule: long non-coding RNA, 393 nt
Organism: Nymphaea colorata (pocket water lily)
Lineage: Eukaryota; Viridiplantae; Streptophyta; Magnoliopsida; Nymphaeales; Nymphaeaceae
Exons: 3
Source: RefSeq, a predicted model, not a curated record